GACGAACGCUGGCGGCGUGCUUAACACAUGCAAGUCGAGCGGUAAGGCCCUUUCGGGGGUACACGAGCGGCGAACGGGUGAGUAACACGUGGGUGACCUGCCCUCAGCUCUGGGAUAAGCCUGGGAAACCGGGUCUAAUACUGGAUAUGACUCCACGACGCAUGUUGUGGGGUGGAAAGCCUUGUGCGGCUGAGGAUGGGCCCGCGGCCUAUCAGCUUGUUGGUGGGGUGAUGGCCUACCAAGGCGACGACGGGUAGCCGGCCUGAGAGGGCGACCGGCCACACUGGGGACUGAGACACGGCCCCAGACUCCUACGGGAGGCAGCAGUGGGGAAUCUUGCGCAAUGGGCGAAAGCCUGACGCAGCGACGCCGCGUGAGGGA
This 381-nucleotide ribosomal RNA is filed under the name uncultured bacterium. RNAcentral's name for it is "bacterial SSU rRNA". It matches the Rfam family "Bacterial small subunit ribosomal RNA", at positions 28 to 408 of the family's 1533-position model. The record is from RNAcentral.